Molecule: ribosomal RNA, 460 nt
Filed under: uncultured bacterium
Lineage: Bacteria
Description: partial 16S ribosomal RNA
Rfam family: Bacterial small subunit ribosomal RNA
Source: RNAcentral
CCUACGGGAGGCAGCAGUGAGGAAUAUUGGUCAAUGGGCGCGAGCCUGAACCAGCCAAGUAGCGUGAAGGAUGACUGCCCUACGGGUUGUAAACUUCUUUUAUAAAGGAAUAAAGUGAGGCACGUGUGCCUUUUUGUAUGUACUUUAUGAAUAAGGAUCGGCUAACUCCGUGCCAGCAGCCGCGGUAAUACGGAGGAUCCGAGCGUUAUCCGGAUUUAUUGGGUUUAAAGGGAGCGUAGAUGGGUUGUUAAGUCAGUUGUUAAAGGCGCAGGCUCAACCUGUGUAUGGCACUUGAUACUUGCAAGCUGGAAUGCGGUAGAGGUAAAGGGAAUUCCUGGUGUAGCGGUGAAAUGCUUAGAUAUCAGGAGGAACAUCGGUGGCGUAAGCGCUUUACUGGGCCGUAAUUGACGCUGAGGAACGAAAGCCAGGGUAGCAAAUGGGAUUAGAUACCCGGGUAGUC